GAUGAACGCUGGCGGCGUGCCUAAUACAUGCAAGUCGAGCGAACAGACGAGGAGCUUGCUCCUCUGACGUUAGCGGCGGACGGGUGAGUAACACGUGGAUAACCUACCUAUAAGACUGGGAUAACUUCGGGAAACCGGAGCUAAUACCGGAUAAUAUAUUGAACCGCAUGGUUCAAUAGUGAAAGACGGUUUUGCUGUCACUUAUAGAUGGAUCCGCGCCGCAUUAGCUAGUUGGUAAGGUAACGGCUUACCAAGGCAACGAUGCGUAGCCGACCUGAGAGGGUGAUCGGCCACACUGGAACGGGGAAACGGUCCAGACUCCUACGGGAGGCAGCAGUAGGGAAUCUUCCGCAAUGGGCGAAAGCCUGACGGAGCAACGCCGCGUGAGUGAUGAAGGUCUUCGGAUCGUAAAACUCUGUUAUUAGGGAAGAACAAAUGUGUAAGUAACUAUGCACGUCUUGACGGUACCUAAUCAGAAAGCCACGGCUAACUACGUG
RNAcentral lists this ribosomal RNA (497 nucleotides) under uncultured bacterium. RNAcentral describes it as "partial 16S ribosomal RNA". It matches the Rfam family "Bacterial small subunit ribosomal RNA", at positions 28 to 507 of the family's 1533-position model. The record is from RNAcentral.